RNAcentral lists this long non-coding RNA (945 nucleotides) under Spirodela polyrhiza (greater duckweed). Its description in RNAcentral is "long non-coding RNA (SPOL_LNC001832)". The record is from RNAcentral. Lineage: Eukaryota; Viridiplantae; Streptophyta; Magnoliopsida; Alismatales; Araceae.
CGACGCCCCCCAGUACAACGCGUCUCCCGAGUCCACCAAUUUCUUCAAGGAGCACGGAGGCUCGUGGGACACCCCCUACGGGAACUUCUUCCUCUCCUGGUAUUCCAGCCAGCUCGUCGCCCACGGCGACCGCCUCCUCUCCGCCGCCUCCACAGCCUUCGGGGAUCUCCCCGUGACCGUCUACGGCAAGGUCCCGGUGAUGCACGCCUGGUACAAGCACCGGUCCCACCCCUCCGAGCUCACCGCCGGCUACCACAACACGGCCAACUCCGACGGCUACGAGGCCAUCGCGGAGAUGUUCGCGAGGCACUCAUGCGGCAUGAUCCUCCCCGCCAUGGACCUCUCCGACGAGCACCAGCCGCCGGCCUCGCGGUCCAGCCCGGAGGCGCUUGUGGCGCAGAUCAUGAGGGCCUGCGAGAAGCACGGGGUCGCCGUCUCCGGGGAGAACUCCUCCCUCCGCGGCCCCCCCGACGUCGUCUUCGGCAAGAUCAAGGAGACCCUCUCCAAGGCCAAGCCGUCCCCGGUGGGCCAAUUCACCUACCAGCGGAUGGGGGCGUACUUCUUCUCCCCCGAGCACUUCCCCACGUUCACGCAGUUCGUCAGGAGCCUCGACUGGUCCGACUUGCACCCCGACGACUUGCCCGCCGGCGACGGCGAGACCAUCCCCAUGACCCCGAGUUCGGCGGCCGAGGGCACCAGACAGAUGCAAGCCGUCUGAGAGGAGCAGCAGUAAGUAGUAGGCAGACGACGACGACGACGACGACGACGGAGGAAGAAGAAGAUGAUUCCGCCAUUAAUUUAUUACCCCCCACCUCCCUCGCUCUAUGUAAAUAGCAUAAUGGUGGUGGACUUGAUGCAUAAGCGAGGGCGUCCCCCGAGGAGUAGUAGCCCAGACACGAAGUGAUUUGUUAUUUUUGCUGAUUUUUGAGGCGCAAUAAAUCUGGC